This 65-nucleotide transfer RNA is filed under the name Phrynus sp. 1 SEM-2008. RNAcentral's name for it is "tRNA-Pro". Lineage: Eukaryota; Metazoa; Arthropoda; Arachnida; Amblypygi; Phrynidae. The record is from RNAcentral.
CAGAAAGUAGUUUAAUAAAAAAAUAGUGGUUUUGGAAAUUACUGAUGAUGAUCUAUUCUUUCUGA